This 497-nucleotide ribosomal RNA is filed under the name uncultured bacterium. RNAcentral's name for it is "partial 16S ribosomal RNA". It matches the Rfam family "Bacterial small subunit ribosomal RNA", at positions 28 to 507 of the family's 1533-position model. The record is from RNAcentral.
GAUGAACGCUGGCGGCGUGCCUAAUACAUGCAAGUCGAGCGAACAGACGAGGAGCUUGCUCCUCUGACGUUAGCGGCGGACGGGUGAGUAACACGUGGAUAACCUACCUAUAAGACUGGGAUAACUUCGGGAAACCGGAGCUAAUACCGGAUAAUAUAUUGAACCGCAUGGUUCAAUAGUGAAAGACGGUUUUGCUGUCACUUAUAGAUGGAUCCGCGCCGCAUUAGCUAGUUGGUAAGGUAACGGCUUACCAAGGCAACGAUGCGUAGCCGACCUGAGAGGGGGAUCGGCCACACUGGAACUGGGACACGGUCCAGACUCCUACGGGAGGCAGCAGUAGGGAAUCUUCCGCAAUUGGCGAAAGCCUGACGGAGCAACGCCGCGUGAGUGAUGAAGGUCUUCGGAUCGUAAAACUCUGUUAUUAGGGAAGAACAAAUGUGUAAGUAACUAUGCACGUCUUGACGGUACCUAAUCAGAAAGCCACGGCUAACUACGUG